CUGGUAAGACCCCUCAUAGACGAUGAGGUUGAUAGGUUCGGUGUGGAAGCGCGGUAACGCGUGGAGCUGACGAAUACUAAUCGGUCGAGGGCUUAUCCACAA
This 102-nucleotide ribosomal RNA is filed under the name Brevibacillus fluminis. RNAcentral's name for it is "partial 23S ribosomal RNA". It matches the Rfam family "Bacterial large subunit ribosomal RNA", at positions 2825 to 2925 of the family's 2925-position model. Lineage: Bacteria; Bacillati; Bacillota; Bacilli; Caryophanales; Paenibacillaceae. The record is from RNAcentral.